RNAcentral lists this ribosomal RNA (460 nucleotides) under uncultured bacterium. Its description in RNAcentral is "partial 16S ribosomal RNA". It matches the Rfam family "Bacterial small subunit ribosomal RNA", at positions 338 to 795 of the family's 1533-position model. The record is from RNAcentral.
CCUACGGGAGGCAGCAGUGAGGAAUAUUGGUCAAUGGACGAGAGUCUGAACCAGCCAAGUAGCGUGAAGGAUGACUGCCCUAUGGGUUGUAAACUUCUUUUAUAUGGGAAUAAAAUGUUCCACGUGUGGGAUUUUGUAUGUACCAUAUGAAUAAGGAUCGGCUAACUCCGUGCCAGCAGCCGCGGUAAUACGGAGGAUCCGAGCGUUAUCCGGAUUUAUUGGGUUUAAAGGGAGCGUAGGUGGAUUGUUAAGUCAGUUGUGAAAGUUUGGGGCUCAACCGUAAAAUUGCAGUUGAAACUGGCAGUCUUGAGUACAGUAGAGGUGGGCGGAAUGCGUGGUGUAGCGGUGAAAUGCUUAGAUAUCACGAAGAACUCCGAUUGCGAAGGCAGUUCACUGGACUGCAACUGACACUGAGGCUCGAAAGUGUGGGUAUCAAACAGGAUUAGAUACCCCUGUAGUC